This 8221-nucleotide long non-coding RNA is filed under the name Gossypium barbadense (sea-island cotton). RNAcentral's name for it is "long non-coding RNA (GBAR_LNC016568)". Lineage: Eukaryota; Viridiplantae; Streptophyta; Magnoliopsida; Malvales; Malvaceae. The record is from RNAcentral.
AUUAGUACAGUUUAUUAGUCAAAGUCUCCCAUGUUACAGGGAUUGACUACACUGACCUUUGCGCAUUACGACUUGGAUAUCUCCCUGUACAGGGACUCAAUACUGAUUUCGUUUGUUUCUAUAGAAACUAGACUCAGAGAGGAAUCUAUAAAUAUAUGGCUUGACUCCUAAUUGUCUCUGGUUAAUUUGUAAUGAAUUUCCAAAGUCGGAACAGGAAAUCCAGAAACCGUUCUGGCCCUGUCUCACAAGAACCUGAAUAUCUCUUAACAUACUGUCCGUAUGAUUGUUUCGUUACUUUCCUAUGAAAAUAGAUUCAUCAAGGUACGUUUACAUAAUUUAUUCACUAUUUAAUUCCAUUCCUACUAUUUUUAGUGAUUUUCCAAAUCUACAUCACUGCUGCUGUCAGCAUCUGCCUUUAAGGUAGACUUUACCUAUUUCAUAGUUUCCAUGAUUCAACUAGCCCUUUUUGCAUAAAUAGCACAAUUUAUGAUAGUGAUUAACCAUUCCCAUGGCCAAUCCUUGUCAAGCAUAUCCACACCAAAUGAUUAUAACAUUAUACUCAAACAAUAUAAGCCAUUUUCGCAUGGCUAUCCAAAAUUAUACAAGUCCAAAGGGUCCAUGACCCACAACAAACGGGUAGUCCUAUACAUGCCAUUUCGAAGUUCAACCAAAAUUGUACCAAAAGGGGGGGCUUUGAUAGUGUGGGCGACUUCGACUUCAAAAUCCCGAGUCCGAUAGCUGGAGAACCAAAAUCUAUAAAACAGAGGAUCAAAGAAACGGAGUAAGCAAUUUAUGCUUAGUAAGUUUUGAGCAAGGAAUUCCAGCACAGCAAAAGUAUAGCAUUCAUAUAGCUAAACGGAUAAUUUCAUAUGCACAAAUUUUCGAUAUCAUACUUGCUUCACAUUACCAACCCUUAUGUACAUACACAAAAGAUCAACUUAGCCAAAGGCCGGUAGCUCGUUUAUCAACUGAGCGAAUACUUAUUUGUAAGGGCUCAACUAAAUUCAAGCACAUACGAAACAUACCUCAAUGUUGGGAUGUUUCUAGAGUAUUUACUGAAAUUUUUACAGCAAGAUCAUUCAUUCCCAAAUCACGUACCUUCGGAAUUUAACCGGAUAUAGCUACUCGUUCAAAUGCCUUCGGGACAUAGCCCGGUUAUAGUAACUCGCACAAUUGCCUUCGGGACUUAACCCGGAUUUUGUAACUCGCACAAAUGCCUUCGGGCUUAGCCCGGAAUUAGUAUCUUGCACAAAUGCCUUCGGAUCUUAGUCCGGAUAUGGUCACUUAGCACAAAGCCUUCAGGACUUAGCCCGGACAUCAUUCAAAUAACCAUGCACAUUUAACAAUAAAUCAUGGCACAUUCGUAUUUCGUUUUCGUUAGUAAAACUCAAACACAAGACAUUUAUCAUUCUUGCAAUUUCGGCUCAAUAGCCACACAAAGAGCAUGAUUUUGGUUUGCUUAAAACAUGAUCUAAUCAAAUCAUAAUUUAAACUCUUUUACUCAAGAACUUACCUCGGGUGUUGUCGAACGAUUCCGAUAGCUAUCCGACCACUUUUUCCUUCCCUUUAUCGGAUUUAGUUCCCCUUUGCUCUUGAGCUUAAUUAAACAAAUAAAUUGAUUUAAUCAUUUGAGCAUCGGAAAGAGGAACACAAGGCACUUAGCCCAUUUUUAUACAUUAGACAUUAAAGUCACAUAUGUACGGAAUCAUGAAUCAAACUCAAAAUUUUAGCUAAUUUUUCCCCCUUGGCCGAAUUUUCUAAGCCAAGACAAAAGCAUCAAUAUGCUUGCCUCUAACCGAAUACAUGCAACACCAAUCUCCUUCCUAUGGCCGAAUAUGCAUGUCUAUGUUGGGGCCGAUUUCAACACUUAAUACAUUCUACAAGUAUGGUCACUUGUAUUGACUAAACACCCUUUUGUUUCAAGUUCAAAACUUGGCUAAUACACACAUAUAUACACUAGUAAAGCAUCCUCUCCCUUUCCAUCAAUUUAACACAUGCAUUACUCAUUAAUAUACAAAAAUUAUAUUCGGCCUUAGCACACAACUUGCUAGCCGAUUCUUCUCCAUCUAGCAACCAAUGCACAUAUGUGCUCACUCAAAAAUGCUAAAAAGAAGAUUCAAGAAUCAUCAAUCCACCAUCACAUGCAUCAUUAACAAGCUUCAUAUUUAGCAUGCAAUGGCAUUAACACAAAAUCUACCUAGGCCGAAUAUCAUCCCCAUGACAUAGCAAAGAUUUGAACCAUGGGCUAAUUAGAACUCAAGCUAGCAACUAAAAACAUGCAUGAAUCUCAUGGCACAACCUCAAACAUACCUUGAUCUAGAUACAAGUAUGGCCAAACCUCCUCCUAAUCCUCUUCCAAACCAAACAUGAAGCAAGAACUCCUUCCUCCUUCCUUUGAAUUUUCGGCCAAAUGAAGAUGAAAAAGGAUGAACAAAAUUUUCUCUUUUCUUUUCUUUAACUCACGGCAAUGGGGGGGGGAAACAACUACACACUUUUUUUUUGUUUUCAUCAUAUUCCCUUUCAUUAUUUUAUGCCCAUGCUCCUUAUUUUAUUUUUUUCCACCCAUGAUGCACCAACACAACAUGUCUAUGACAUGUCUUGCCCAUCACACUUGGUCUACCAUGCUUGUCAUGGCCGGCCACUACUAGUUAGGGGGGAAUUUGACAUGCAAGUCCCCCCCUUUUUAUUUCAUGCUCUAAUAGGUCCUUAUGCUUCGACCUAUCACAUUUCAAAAAUGUCACACAUAAGUCCUAUUGACUAAAUUCACAUGCAAUCGACUAAAUCGAAGCUUGAAAUUUUCACACAUUCAUAAUUACAUAUUCUAGACAAUAAAUAUCACAUUCAAACAUUUCGGUGACUCGGUUUAGCGGUCCCGAAACCACUUCCCGACUAGGGUCAAUUUUGGGCUGUCACAACUCUCCCCCACUUAAGAAAUUUUCAUCCCCGAAAAUCUUACCGGUAAAUAGGUUUGGGUAUCGUUCUUUCAUCGAGCUCUCGGUUUCCCAAGUAGCUUCCUCGAUCCCGUGUUUGAGCCAUAACACCUUAACUAACGGAACCCUUUUGUUUCGCAACUCUUUCACUUCACGAGCUAGGAUACGAAUCGGUUCUUCUUCAUAACUCAAGUCAGAUUGAAUUUCAACUUCUGAGGGAUUAAUCACAUGUGACGGAUCGGAUCUAUAACGUCGAAGCAUCGAAACAUGAAAGACAUCGUGAAUCUUUUCAAGUUUAGGGGGCAAAAUCAAUCUAUACGCAACCAGACCAACUCGUUCGGAGAUUUCGUACGGCCCAAUGAAUCUCGGGCUCAACUUGCCCUUACGGCCAAAUCUGAGUACCUUUUUCCAAGGCGAAACUUUAAGAAACACUUUAUCUCCCACCUGAUAUUCAAUGUCUUUUCGUUUCAAAUCCGCAUACGAUUUUUGACGAUCUGUGGCUGCUUUCAGACUUUCACGGAUUACCUUUACUUUUUGUUCGGCAUCCUUAAUCAAAUCAACUCCGAAAAUUUUACUUUCACCGAGCUCGGUCCAAAACAAUGGUGUACGGCAUUUACGACCGUACAAAGCCUCGUAAGGUGCCAUCUUAAUACUUGAUUGAAAACUAUUGUUGUAAGCGAAUUCAAUCAAAGGUAAAUACCGUUCCCAUGAACUACUGAACUCGAGGAUGCAACAUCUCAACAUAUCCUCAAGUAUCUGAAUUAUCCGCUCAGAUUGACCAUCGGUUUGGGGGUGAAAAGCAGUGCUAAAAUGCAGCUUGGUACCCAAAGCUUCUUGCAAUUUCCUCCAAAAUCGCGAGGUGAAUCUCGGAUCUCUAUCCGACACGAUAGAAAUAGGUACCCCGUGUAAUCUCACAAUCCGAGAAACAUACAAUUCGGCUAGUUUAUCCAAUGAAAAAUCCGUACGCACGGGGAUAAAGUGAGCCGACUUAGUCAGUCUAUCAACAACAACCCAAAUCGCAUCCUUCUUACUUGCUGACAAUGGCAGUCCGGACACAAAGUCCAUUGUGACUCGAUCCCAUUUCCACUCGGGUAUCAUGAUCGGCUGAAGUAAUCCUGAAGGCACUUGAUGUUCCACUUUCACUUGUUGACAUAUUAAACAUCUCAAAACAAAGUCGGAGAUGUCUCGUUUCAUACCAUGCCACCAAAACCAACAUUUCAAAUCGUUGUACAUUUUCGUACUCCCCGGAUGAAUUGACAUUCGGCUACAAUGGGCUUCGUUCAGAAUCAUCGAAAUGAGUUCCGAAUUCCUUGGAACGCACAAACGACUUCUGAACCUCAAACAAUCAUCAUCAUCAAUUUGAAACUCCGAUUCCUUGUUCGGAACACACUCAGCCCGUUUUGCAACCAAUUCAUCAUCAACUUUCUGGGCUUCACGAAUUUGAUGAAUCAAUAAUGGUUUGGCUUUUAAUUCAGCUACUAACACAUUGUCGGGUAGAACAGACAAGUACACAUUCAUCGCUCGUAAAGCAAACAAUGAUUUCCGGCUUAAGGCGUCCGCAACCACAUUAGCCUUUCCCGGGUGGUAAUCAAUGACAAGCUCGUAAUCUUUCAACAACUCAAGCCAACGUCUUUGUCGCAGAUUUAAGUCUCUUUGAGUCAUCAAAUAUUUGAGACUUUUGUGAUCCAAAAAUACAUGGCACUUUUCACCAAAUAAGUAAUGUCGCCAUAUUUUUAAAGCAAAUACGAUGGCAGCUAGUUCAAGAUCAUGGGUCGGAUAAUUUUUCUCAUGUGGCUUUAAUUGUCUCGACGCAUAGGCCACCACUCGACCUUCUUGCAUCAAUACGCAACCCAACCCAAGUAGGGAUGCGUCACUAUAAAUGACAAACUCUUUGCCUGAUUCGGGUCGCACUAAAAUUGGAGCUUCAGUCAAAUAAGUUUUUUAGUUGAUCAAAACUUUUCUGACAUUUCUCCGUCCAUUCGAACUUAACAUCCUUUUGAAGUAGCUUCGUCAUUGGUGUGGCUAUCAUCGAGAAACCUUUGACAAAUCGUCGGUAAUAACCGGUGAGCCCCAGGAAGCUCCGAACUUCGGUAAUAUUUCUUGGAGGCUUCUAGUUAAGUAUGGCUGAAAUUUUGCUCCGGUCAACUCGAAUACCCGAUGCGGAUACCACAUGACCCAAGAAGCUAACCUCUCUUAACCAGAACUCACACUUACUGAACUUAGCAUAUAACUGCUUAUCCCACAAAAUUUGCAACACUAGUCUCAGGUGCUCAGCAUGUUCGGUCUCAUCUCUUGAAUAGACCAAGAUGUCAUCAAUGAACACAACUACGAACCGAUCCAAAUAUGGUCUGAAGAUCCGAUUCAUCAAAUCCAUAAAUACCGCAGGGGCAUUAGUGAGCCCAAACGGCAUCACUAAGAAUUCGUAGUGACCAUAUCUCGUUCUGAAGGCAGUUUUGGGUAUGUCUGAAUCUCGAAUUCGCAAUUGAUAAUAGCCCGAUCUCAAAUCUAUUUUUGAGAACACUGAGGCUCCCUUCAGUUGGUCGAACAAAUCAUCGAUACGCGGUAACGGAUAUUUGUUCUUUAUCGUCACUUUAUUCAGUUGACGAUAGUCAAUGCACAACCUCAUGGUUCCGUCCUUCUUUUUCACGAACAAUACUGGUGCACCCCAAGGUGAGAAACUUGGUCGAGCAAAACCUCUAUCCGUCAAUUCUUGCAACUGAGCUUUCAACUCUUUUAACUCGGUUGGUGCCAUACGAUAGGGAGCCAUCGAAAUCGGCGUAGUCCCAGGUACAAGCUCAAUACCAAACUCUAUCUCCCGAACAGGUGGUAAACCCGGUAAUUCUUCAGGAAAAACAUCCGGGUAUUCACAAACCACCGGCACAGAUUCGGGUUUCUUUUCUAAUUCUUUGUCAUCAAGUACAUACGCAAGGUAUGCUUCGCACCCUUUUCUUACAUAUUUCUGGGCCAACAUUGAGGAUAUUACAGCUGGCAACCCCUUUAAGUCCGUAGACUCAACUCGGAUUAUCUCUUUAUUUGCGCACCUCAAAUCAAUAGUCUUGCUUUUGCAGUUCACAACUGCAUCAUGCGCGGUCAGCCAAUCCAAACCAAGAAUAACAUCAAAUUCAUCAAAUGGCAAAAGCAUCAAGUCCGCCGAAAAACAGGAAUCUCGAAUUACUAGGGGACAUUCCUUACACACUUUGUCAACAAGCACGUAACGACCCAAGGGAUUUGACACCCGAAUUACGAACUCAGUAGACUCAAUAGGUAAAGUCUUACUGGAUGCUAAGGUUUCACAUAUGUAAGAAUGAGUAGAACCGGGGUCAAUCAAAGCAAUUACAUUAGUAUCAAAGAGAGUAAAAGUACCGGUAAUAACAUCAGGCGAAGAAGCAUCCUCGCGGGCACGUAUAGCAUAAGCUCUAGCAGGCGCACGAGCCUCGGAUCUGGUCGUAGCAUCUCUAGAUCCUCUCUGACCACCACUAGCAUUGCCCGUAUUUCCAGAUGGUCUAUCUCGAGCAGUGGUAGCACCCGGUUUCCCACUCUGAUUUACAUUCUGUUCAGACAACCUCGGGCAAUCUUUAAUGAAGUGGUCAACUGAUCCGCACUUGUAACAGGAGCGGUCAGGGAAUCUACAACUCCCCGAAUGCCAUUUACCGUAAUAUCGACAUUUCGUUCUGUCUCGACGUUCAUUCCCAACAGUGGCGACCGAAGUGCCUCGUGUACCCACAGGGGGUCGAUCAUGAUCUCGUCUAAAAAGGCCCGAAGUGCCUCUAGACCGGCCCACAUCAUCUCGAAAUUUCUUCGAUGCCUGUUGAAGAGACUUUCCCGAGGAUCUUUUACGAAACUCUCCAGUUCCCACAUCAACUUUUUGUUUUUCUUUUCUAAGCUCUUCGGCUUUACAAGCUCGCUCGACAAGUACUACGAACUCUCGUAUUUCAAGAAUGCCCACGAACAUUUUUAUAUCUUCAUUCAGCCCAUCCUCGAAGCGUUUACACAUGAUAGCCUCGGACGAAACACAUUCCCGAGCGUAUCUACUAAGUCUAACAAAUUUUCGCUCGUAAUCAGUAACCGACAUAGAACCUUGCUUAAGCUCAAGAAAUUCCUUCCGUUUUUGAUCAACAAAUCUCUGACUGAUAUACUUUUUCCGAAACUCAGUUUGGAAAAAACUCCCAAGUUACUUGCUCUCGGGGCACAACAGAAGUCAGAGUAUUCCACCAAUAGUAGGCAGAAUCGCGUAGCAAGGAGAUAGUACACUUUAGGCAUUCAUCGGGUGUACAAGAUAGCUCAUCGAGUACCCGGAUAGUGUUGUCCAACCAAAAUUCAGCUUGCUCGGCAUCAUCGCUAUCCGUAGCUUUAAAUUCAGUAGCCCCAUGUUUUCGGAUUCUGUCAACUGGGGGCUUAUUUGACCUUAUUUGGUCAGUUACCGGAGGUAUUGUAGGUGCGGGGGUGGUAUUUGUCGGGAAUGGAGGUUGUGGAACAGCCGUAUUAGUUCGAAUGUAUUGGUUGAACCAAUCAUUCAUCACGCUAUAGAAAGCUUGUCUAGCUUCAUCAUUCGGGUUACUAGCAUUAGGUUGAGAGUCCACCGGCGCUGUCCCUUGUGCGGGAGUAGGCGCUACACUCUCAAGAUCAUCAGCUACCGCUCGGUCGGGAUCGGGAUCCAUUACUAUAAAUAAACACAUUUGCAAAUGUCAGAAAUCACCACACUAUCAAAUAAUCACAUAAAAUGGCAUGUAUAGCUAGACCCAACGCAUUACGAUAGUCCUAGAAUCGACUAAACCGUAGCUCUGAUACCAAUCAAAUGUAACGCCCUGAACCCGAGGCCAUCGCCGGAGUCGAACACGAGGUGUUAACAGACUUCAAACCACUUAAAAAAAAUUUCCAAACAAGCUGCCAGUCUGCACACUAGUCGCUUUAAAAAUCAUAUCUUGAGUUCUGAAACUCGAAAUCCAGUUCCGUAAAUUUUCCCUGAAACUAGACUCAUAUACCCAUCUACAUAUUUUUUUCUAUAAUUUUUGGUUAGGCCAAUUAGUACAUUUUAUUAGUCAAAGUCUCCCAUGUUAUAGGGAUCGACUACACUGACCUUUGCGAAUUACGACUUGGAUAUCUCCAUGUACAGGGCUUCAAUACUGAUUCCAUUUGUUUCUAUAGAAACUAGACUCAGAGAGGAAUCUAUACAUAUAUGUCUUGACUCCUAAUUGUCUAUGGUUAAUUUGUAAUUAAUUUCCAAAGUCGGAACAGGAAAUCCAGAAACCGUUCUGGCCCUGUCUCACAAGAACCUGAAUAUCUCUUAACAU